Molecule: long non-coding RNA, 2235 nt
Organism: Cyprinus carpio carpio
Lineage: Eukaryota; Metazoa; Chordata; Actinopteri; Cypriniformes; Cyprinidae
Source: Ensembl
GUUCGGUUUGGCUCCUAAACACCUUUGAGUUUUUAUUGGUCCGUAGCGAUUACGCAAUCGGCCCAGCAAACACAGAACGUUGUGAGGACGUCGCCAGUUCGUCGUCAUUUGGUCAGCGCGACAUUACUUUAUGGAGACGUUGUGAGGACGUCGUGGUAAAGUUCCAUUUUUGGAAUCUCGGCUAACGUCCCAGAAACGUCGUGGGCACGUCCUCAAAAGACGUCGCUACUAGUUAGUCCCAUUGGGGACGUUGUAGCGACGUGGUCAGCUGGUCUCCAGAUAACUUUUCAUAUUAUUGCACUAACGUUACAUGUAUUAUUAUUAUUAUUAUUAUUAUUAAGAUACCAUUUGAACAGCCUAUUAUUUGGAAAAUAUACUAAAAAUUCAAGCAUGUUAAACGAUGGCAUGAAUUCUAUAUAUAAUAUUUGCCAUCAAUUUAAGAACAAAACAAAUAAACAAUUUACUUAGCAAAUGGUGAUAAUGUUUGUUAAUGAAAGAGAUUUAUUGAAAGAGAGUACGGGACAAAUUAAUAUUUAAACCUUAAACUAGCAGCGCGCGUCACUUUCUGAGUUAAGUGCGCGACGUGCGCGUGCCCGUCAUAUUGUAACGGUCAACUUCCACCGGACGCGACGGACGCGGAGGAAAAGGUCCUGACUGCCACCAGUUGAGUCAAUGAUUCGGAGAAGAGACAGUCUGGGCAGCAGCAACAAGACAACUAUUACAAGUAGAGAUGGGUUUUCAGAACUGGUACUACUUUGGUUCCUGACUUGUUCGACACAACCACAGAUCAUCCAAAUCAUCUCCAAGUGGAUGGCAGCAAGGAUCCAGGAUCAAGAGAUGAUUCUUCAUGAAGACUGUUCCAUAGGAAGCAGUGAAUCCUGGGUGAAAAACUAAACCUGGUUGUUUCAGCAUCACUCAGAUUUGAGGGAAAGGUGAAAAAUAAGGAGGUCUGGGAACGACUGAAGAAGACAGCAGUGAGGGAAGGAAGUAAUCACCAGAAUCUGCCAGAGAAGGAUAUUGACAAUGCAGGCUCAGGAUGAAGAAGAGGAGGAAGAACAUGUUUAACAAUUUUCUCAUAAACUUGCCAUGUGUUAUAAUAAAAACAAUGAACAUGACUACAGUAAUAUGCUAAAUGGUAUUAAAAGAUUCCAGUUUGCAAGAAAUCUGAGUCUCUGACUCUACACUAGAGGAACUCUUUCCUGAAGAAGAUCAGGUGCUGAGAAGGAGCCUUGUUCUACAGCAAAACACUGCAUCAAGCUUCCUGUCCUUCCCUCAGAAGAGCCUGUCUUCUGCUGCUGGGGUAAGAAAGACACUCUUCCUCUUCUCUAUCGGCUGUCCAGCACCUAACUCUGCCUCCUCAGCACUGACUGAAAGAGUCUUCUCCACAGUUCGUUAUCAGAGUAUUCACAGAUUCUCCUGAGAAAGUCAAUAUGCUCAUUUUCUUAAACUGUUUGUGUUUUUUUUGGGGUGGGACAAAUAAUACAGGAGAGAUGCUAGAAAUCUCUAUAUUUUUUCAUUUUUCAUAUCUUUACCCUUUAUGAAUGUUUUUUUUUUUUUAAUCUUCUGAGAAGCUCAAGAAUUAUGGUUCUUUGGUAACUGCAAUAUUGUUUAGGUUUAUUUUCUGAUAGUGAGACAUGCAAGAAAAAAAUAAAUAAAUCGUGUCCACGAUUUACUAAUUCGUUCCCUCAAUGUACUAAAACGUGCACGAUUACUUUUACAUUUCAUCGAUUUGCUAAAUCGUCCGCUCAAUUUACUAAUUUGUUCUCUCGAUUUAUAAAAUAGUGUACACGAUUAAGCAAGUCGAGGGAAUGAAAUAGUAAAUCGUGGCACGAUUUAGCCUACUUUUUUUUUUCUGCAUGCCGUGUAAUUAAAGCACAUCACCACCAGACAUUUAUACCAGAUGCCUCAUAUAUGACGCUCAGGAAACAAUUUAACUUUUUUUCUGGAAAAAAAGUGCCGUAUCUGCUGAAUUGUUUCAUAUCUAUUUAUCAUGUCUUUAUUUUUUGCACCAAAUUAUGUAGAGUUGUAUCAAUGAGUGUACUGAUAAUUAUUUAUAAUUUUCACUGAUAACGUCAUUAUUAACUAUCCCCAUCCUUAAGACAGACAUUUUCUAUUGUUUAUAUUGUGUAAUCUAUGAAUUGAUGUGUUCAGUUUUCUGUGCUCAUAACUUGCAUGGUUGAAGAACAGGUGCAAUGUUCAAAAUGUUUUGGCUUAGUAUUUUUAGAAAGUAGUGCU